This is a long non-coding RNA of Marmota monax (woodchuck), 1803 nucleotides long. RefSeq lists it as uncharacterized. The transcript is spliced from 2 exons. Lineage: Eukaryota; Metazoa; Chordata; Mammalia; Rodentia; Sciuridae. The record is from RefSeq and is a predicted model, not a curated record.
GCGCUGCGCCGCGCAGGCGCAGACUGCCACUUUCCCCCCGCAGGAGACCGGGGGAAUCGUCCUGCGAUCUCCAGGAUCCCGUGCCUGACCGCCGGGGUCUUCAGAGAGGGUCUUUGUAAGUUGCUUUGGACCUUGCUAAAUUGCUGAGGCUCGUCUUGAACUUGCAAUCCUCCUGCCUUAGCCUCCCAAGUCACUGAGAUUACAGGUAUGUGCCACUAUGCCCAGCUCCUUUACACUUUUUGAGACAGGGUCUCACAGAGUUGCCCAGGCUGGCUUUGAACUUGUGAUCCUCCUGCCUCAGCCUCUUGAGUGGCUGGGAUUACAGGUAUGUGUUACUGUGCCUGGCUCUGAGAUUUUUUAGAACUUCAUUUAUCUUCAUAAUUUCAAAAGAGGACAAUAAAGCCAACAAGGAUGGGAGAUGGUUCUAAAGUAGAAUUAAAUAAAUGAGCCAGACUGUAUUUGAAAUGAGAGACAGUCACACUGCAGGAAGUAGGGGGAGCUGAUCCUAGAGCAUUGAGCCCAGAACCUUGACACCCUGACCUCAGGUCACAGACAACAGGAACUACAGAUAAACGCUCAACUCUGGCCAGACGUGGCUUUCCCACUGCAGUCCAGCCUUCAUGGGAACAAGCAAAUAGAUAACUAUGUUGAAAACAAAGAAGAAACCCCACACUGUUGGAUGGGGGACACUGGGAUAAGCUUCUGGUCUCUGUGCAGCAUGAGGACGUGUUCACAUGCCACACGGCACACACACUUCCAAGUUCAUCAGCCAACAGGACUGAGAAGCACAAGCACACCCAGAAGCCAGACCAUGGCUUGUAAAGGCCACUCUCCACUAGAAGGAAGCAGGCUGUCCAAGAAUGGACAGGUCAAGCAGAGUAUGGAGUUGACCUGCCUCAGUCAAAGUCAUAGGAGCCAGCCCAGGGCUUCCACAGGCCACCCAAGCUGGUGUGAGCAAAACCAACAGCGAUAAUGAAGGAUUGUCUUCUGAAGGAGGAGCCAGUGAACCCAUCUGACAUAAAGAACAGAAAUGGAGAGGGAAAAGCCCCUCCUUCCACUGGAAAGUCAACGGCACAAUUAGGCACUGUCUGCCAAAGGUCAAAAAGAGCCACUGUGACGCACACCUGCAGUCCCAGAUACUCAGAGGCUGUGGCAGGAGGAUCUCUUGAGCCCAGGAGUUUGUGGCCAGGCCAUGUAGCACAACAAGCAAUCAUACAUUCAGGCAAAAUUUAGCAAGAACUACUGAGGUGAGGCAAAAAGAUUAAGGAGUACAGAUAUCUGCAGAGUGUUCAUCUCCCUCCUCAGACACCUGCUGACGACAGAGGAAUAGGCACUGUCUGCAGAGAUGCAUCCAGAGGCGUCAAGCGGCCAUGCUGGGACAAAACAACACACUGUGUCCCCCACCUGACAGCUCCCUCCAUGCCAGAAGUGCGGCCCAGAGCACCUUCAGGCAGAACACACCUGCAUGGGGCAGUCUGCUCACAUGCCAGGGCCAAACAGCCCAUGUCUGAGGGAUGAAUGUCCUGGAGGAGCCGUACAGGGCCUACAUGCAGUGCAUUGUCACUAGCGCCUUCUGUGAUGCCCUCCCAGCCUGUGAGCACACGCCCUAGUAUCAGUAAACAUGUCUGGGUGAAGGUAUCGCCUGCCCCUUACUGUCAAGGCAACUGAGGGCGUGCACAUGCGGAGGAAGGAAAAAGCAGACAUGAGAAAAUGUUCAUGUUUAGGAAAUCUAAAAAAUUAUUUGCCUCAUUCUCUCAACUUUCUGUUUAAGUUGGGCUAAAAUAAAACCUAAAGAAAGCUGUG